This 496-nucleotide ribosomal RNA is filed under the name uncultured bacterium. RNAcentral's name for it is "partial 16S ribosomal RNA". It matches the Rfam family "Bacterial small subunit ribosomal RNA", at positions 28 to 507 of the family's 1533-position model. The record is from RNAcentral.
GAUGAACGCUGGCGGCGUGCCUAAUACAUGCAAGUCGAGCGAACAGACGAGGAGCUUGCUCCUCUGACGUUAGCGGCGGACGGGUGAGUAACACGUGGAUAACCUACCUAUAAGACUGGGAUAACUUCGGGAAACCGGAGCUAAUACCGGAUAAUAUAUUGAACCGCAUGGUUCAAUAGUGAAAGACGGUUUUGCUGUCACUUAUAGAUGGAUCCGCGCCGCAUUAGCUAGUUGGUAAGGUAACGGCUUACCAAGGCAACGAUGCGUAGCCGACCUGAGAGGGGUGUCGCCCCACUUGAAAUGGGCCCGCGCCACAGACUCUGAGGGGGGGCCGGAAGGGGAAAACUUCCGAAAAGGGGGAAAGCCUGGGGAGGCAGCGCCGGGGGGGGGAAAAAGGUCUUGGGGCUGUAAAACCUUUUUUUUGGGGAAAAAAAAAUGUGUAAGUAAUGAUGCCCUCUUGAGCGUAACUAAAAAAAAAACCCCCGGUAAACUGGGG